Lolium rigidum is the source of this 803-nucleotide long non-coding RNA. RefSeq lists it as uncharacterized. Lineage: Eukaryota; Viridiplantae; Streptophyta; Magnoliopsida; Poales; Poaceae. The record is from RefSeq and is a predicted model, not a curated record. The transcript is spliced from 3 exons.
UGAGCGCCCGCCUGCGGCCUGGCCUGGCUGUGGGGAGAGGGCCAUCCCAGGGAGACAACGAUGGCAACCGCGACCUCCCUAGCACGUCCAUCCUUAAUGGCCCAGGCAGUAGAUCCUUGCUUCUCCUCUUCCUCUCCCACCUCCUCCCCAUCAGAUUUUAGUGCUUGAUCUGCUUUACAUCUGCAAAGGGAUGUGGCCUUGAGCAUAUACGGGAGUUUGAUUGAUUUGGUUUUCUUUGGGCUGUGUGUUCCAUCUAGCUAAGAUUUAUGUAUCUAAUGUUUAUGCUCCAUCCAGCUAUUUGCAAUCUUGCAAUUAAGGUUUGUGUAGAAACAUCAAUUAUGUGCUUACCGGUGGCGUAAAUGAACCAAGAAACAUCAGUAGGUAUGGCUUGAGUACAUUUUACUCCAAUUAAAAUAUUAUUCAUUGUUUGCUCUCUAGUGUGAUUUGGUCUUAUGGUCAAGUGUGACAAUUGGGUGGUACCUUUUUGUCCUUUGCAAACAUGUGUGUCAGCUAGAGAAACUAAAACAUAUUUCUUCAGUUUACAUCAAAUGCAUGGAUUUGAUUAUAAGCUUUUACAUGAUCUGUUUCAUAAGUGUCCAUGGUGGAGAUGGUAGCUUUCUGAUGUUUCAGGUCCGAAUGUUGCUAUUGAGAUGUCAUGGCUUGGCCUGAUUGCCUUUUCAUUAAUAUCAGAAUGUUUCUAUUGAGAUUUGUAUUGCCUGCAACUUUGAUUUAAUAUUCUUUAGAAAAUGCCAGCCUGUUCCAUUGACACAAUAAGCUCAUAGUUUAAGGCUUGAAAACUGUAG